Molecule: ribosomal RNA, 383 nt
Filed under: uncultured eukaryote
Lineage: Eukaryota
Description: partial 18S ribosomal RNA
Rfam family: Eukaryotic small subunit ribosomal RNA
Source: RNAcentral
CAAUAGCGUAUAUUAAAGUUGUUGCAGUUAAAAAGCUCGUAGUUGGAUUUCUGGUAGGAGUGACCGUUCCGAACUUGAUUGUUCGUGUAUUGUGUUUUCUCCAGCCAUCCUUGUGGAGAACUUUUCUUGCAUUAAUUUGUAGGGAUUGGGACCCGCAUCGUUUACUGUGAAAAAAUUAGAGUGUUUAAAGCAGGCAAUCGCUUGAAUACAUUAGCAUGGAAUAAUAAGAUAGGACUUUGGUACUAUUUUGUUGGUUUGCAAACCAAAUUAAUGAUCAACAGGAACAGUUUGAGGAUAUUCGUAUGAACAUGUCAGAGGUGAAAUUCUUGGAUUUUGAUCAGACGAACUACUGCGAAAGCAUUUAUCAAGGAUGUUUUCAUUAA